GACGAACGCUGGCGGCGUGCUUAACACAUGCAAGUCGAACGGAAAGGGCCUGCUUUUGUGGUGUGCUCGAGUGGCGAACGGGUGAGUAACACGUGUGUACCCUGGCCUUUACUUUGAGCUAACUUCAGGCAACUUGGUCUAAUAUCGGGUAGCAGCUCCUGUUGUUUGGUUUGUGUUGGAAAGUUUCGUCUGUUGGGGAUGUACUCGCGGCUUAUCAGCUUGUUGGUUGGGUAGUGGCUUACCAAGGCUUUGACGGGUAGCCGGCCUGAGAGGGUGACAGGGCACAUUGGGACUGAGAUGCGGGCAAGAGGGAUACGGGAGGAAGAAGUGGGAGAUAGUGGAAAAAGGGCGGAAGCAUGAUGCAGCAACGCCGCGUGGGGGAUGACGGCCUUCGGGUUGUAAAACGCUUGCGCCUGUGAGGAAGAGGGAGUGACGGUAAUGGGAAAAGAAGCACCGGCUAACUACGUG
This 468-nucleotide ribosomal RNA is filed under the name uncultured bacterium. RNAcentral's name for it is "partial 16S ribosomal RNA". It matches the Rfam family "Bacterial small subunit ribosomal RNA", at positions 28 to 507 of the family's 1533-position model. The record is from RNAcentral.